UACAGAGGGUGCGAGCGUUAAUCGGAAUUACUGGGCGUAAAGCGCACGUAGUCGGCUUUGCAAGUCGGUUGUGAAAUCCCCGGGCUCAACCUGGGAACUGCAUCCGAGACUUCAUUGCUAGAGUAUGGGAGAGGGAAGCGGAAUUUCUGGUGUAGCAGUGAAAUGCGUAGAUAUCAGGAGGAACACCUGUGGUGGAGACGGCUUUUUGGACCAUUGCUGACGCUGAGACACGAAAGCGUGGGUAGCAAACAGG
This 253-nucleotide ribosomal RNA is filed under the name uncultured bacterium. Its description in RNAcentral is "partial 16S ribosomal RNA". It matches the Rfam family "Bacterial small subunit ribosomal RNA", at positions 524 to 776 of the family's 1533-position model. The record is from RNAcentral.